GAUGAACGCUGGUGGCGUGCCUAAUACAUGCAAGUCGAGCGAACAGAUAAGGAGCUUGCUCCUUUGACGUUAGCGGCGGACGGGUGAGUAACACGUGGAUAACCUACCUAUAAGACUGGGAUAACUUCGGGAAACCGGAGCUAAUACCGGAUAACAUAUUGAACCGCAUGGUUCAAUAGUGAAAGGCGGCUUUGCUGUCACUUAUAGAUGGAUCCGCGCCGUAUUAGCUAGUUGGUAAGGUAACGGCUUACCAAGGCAACGAUACGUAGCCGACCUGAGAGGGUGAUCGGCCACACUGGAACUGAGACACGGUCCAGACUCCUACGGGAGGCAGCAGUAGGGAAUCUUCCGCAAUGGGCGAAAGCCUGACGGAGCAACGCCGCGUGAGUGAUGAAGGUCUUCGGAUCGUAAAACUCUGUUAUCAGGGAAGAACAAAUGUGUAAGUAACUGUGCACAUCUUGACGGUACCUGAUCAGAAAGCCACGGCUAACUACGUG
RNAcentral lists this ribosomal RNA (497 nucleotides) under uncultured bacterium. RNAcentral's name for it is "partial 16S ribosomal RNA". It matches the Rfam family "Bacterial small subunit ribosomal RNA", at positions 28 to 507 of the family's 1533-position model. The record is from RNAcentral.